This is a long non-coding RNA of Polyodon spathula (Mississippi paddlefish), 1127 nucleotides long. RefSeq lists it as uncharacterized. Lineage: Eukaryota; Metazoa; Chordata; Actinopteri; Acipenseriformes; Polyodontidae. The transcript is spliced from 4 exons. The record is from RefSeq and is a predicted model, not a curated record.
AGUGAAAAAAAGAGGUUGAAGCUAGAAAAUAUAGCACAUCUGAUGAGCGAAUAUGGCGUAUGAGAAUCAGAUUGAGAAACGAUCAUCAGUUUGGAGUUAAGAAGAGAGCAGAAAGGCGCUCAUACUGACCAGGAGUUGUCUGUCAGUUGAGAAGCCUUCCAUUUACUGAAAAGGAUAGAAGGAAGAUUGAAUCAAACCAGCACUAGCAGCUAAGAGCUGUAUCAAUCCUCAACUGUAAGCAAAAGAAAGAUUGAUGAUAUCAUAAGCCUUUGUCAUCGGAAGGGUAGCUUGAGUGGAGAGGACCUCGAAGCAUGUGGUGCAGCCGUCCUUCAUCAGCUUCAGAGGUUGUCACGGAGCACGUCAAAAGGGUGUUUGUUAUCCGAGGAGAUACUCGGCAACAACUGGACUUCUGUGGAUGAAAACAAAUGAAGGGAUUCCACUUCAACCCUGCAGCAAAGUAGUGGACUUGAAUAAAACAUAAGGGGACUGAUGUCAGGUUUUACUGGAUGGAGAGGGUCUUUAUCAAGAUGGUGUGUGUGUGUGUGUGUGUGUGAGUGUGUGAGUGUGUGAGAGUGUGAGUGUGUGAGAGUGUGAGAGUGUGCGUGUGUGUGUGUAUCAAGGGUUUGGUAUUAGCUUGUUAGGUGGAUUACAUUAAGGAUUUAAGCUGCAUGUGGGUUUUAUAUAAGCCCAUAGUGCUGGAUACAUUGAUAAAUUCUUGCUAUCUUUGAACCUGAAAAAUAUGCUGUUUUGGAGCAUUACAUAAAAUACAGGGUGAUUGGGAAGUAACUUUACCACAUCAAUGAAUAGUGUGUUGAUGUGGUAAACCUAUGUUUUUAAUUGCCCUGUAUAUAGAAAGAUUUGGAUUUAUUUUCACUAUAAAUUAAAGAAUACUUUUUAAAGCACCAAGCUUUAAAAUGAGGCCUUAUUUCCCUAUUGUGAAGAUUUGUAAGGCAACCUAAUCUGGAACCUCCAUAGUCUGCAGAAAGUGAAAUACUUUUGAUACUUUCCCUGUGAACUGCCCAAAUUUCUCUUUUAUUAGUGGCUCUUCAGAACGUGAUUUGAGUAGCAAUAUAUUUUAAUACCAGGUACUACACAUAUACAGCUAUGGCCAAAAAUCUAGAAUUAUA